GACGAACGCUGGCGGCGUGCUUAACACAUGCAAGUCGAACGGAAAGGCCCUGCUUGCAGGGUACUCGAGUUGCGAACGGGUGAGUAACACGCGGGUGAUCUGCCCUGCACUUCGGGAUAAGCCUGGGAAACUGGGUCUAAUACCGGCUAGGAGCCAUUUUUAGUGUGAUGGUUGGAAAGUUUUUUCGGUGUAGGGUGAGCUCGCGGCCUAUCAGCUUGUUGGUGGGGUAAUGUCCUACCAAGGCGGCUUCGGGUAGCCGGCCUGAGAGGGUGGACGGCCACAUUGGGACUGAGAUGCGGCCCAGGCUCCUACGGGAGGCAGCAGUGGGGAAUAUUGCACAAUGGGCGCAAGCCUGAUGCAGCGACGCCGCGUGGGGGAUGACGGCCUUCGGGUUGUAAACUCCUUUCGCUAGGGACGAAGCUUUUUGUGACGGUACCUAGAUAAGAAGCACCGGCUAACUACGUG
RNAcentral lists this ribosomal RNA (465 nucleotides) under uncultured bacterium. RNAcentral's name for it is "partial 16S ribosomal RNA". It matches the Rfam family "Bacterial small subunit ribosomal RNA", at positions 28 to 507 of the family's 1533-position model. The record is from RNAcentral.